UACGAGGGAUGCAAGCGUUAUCCGGAAUUAUUGGGCGUAAAGCGUUUGUAGGCGGGCGAGUGUGUUUAAUGUUAAAUCUUAAAGCUCAACUUUGAAAUUGCGUUAAAAACUGCUUGUCUUGAGUAUGGUAGGGGUAAAGGGAAUUCCCAGUGUAGCGGUGAAAUGCGUAGAUAUUGGGAAGAACACUAAACAGCGAAGGCACUUUACUAGGCUAAUACUGACGCUGAGAAACGAAAGGUAAGGUAGCGAAACGGAUUAGAUACCCGUGUAGUCUUACCCGUAAACUAUGGACACUAAACGGUAAAUUUUUAAUUUACUGUUAAAGCUAACGCGUUAAGUGUCCUGCCUGGGGAGUAUGCUUGCAAAAGUGAAACUCAAAGGAAUUGACGGGGGCCCGCACAAGCGGUGGAGCAUGUGGUUUAAUUCGACGGUACACGAAGAACCUUACCAGGAUUUGACAUGCUAGAUAGUUGCUUGAAAGAGUAACGUGCCGUAAGGAAUCUAGACACAGGUGGUGCAUGGCUGUCGUCAGUCCGUGUUGUGAAAUGUUGGGUUAAGUCCCGCAACGAACGCAACCCUUGUCUUUAGUUAUUUUCUAAAGAGACUGCCUGUAAUAAACAGGAGGAAGGUAAGGAUGAGGUCAAGUCAUCAUGCCCCUUAUGUCCUGGGCUACACACGUGCUACAAUGGGAAAGACAAUGAGCUGCAAAUCUGUAAAUUUAAGCAAAUCUCUUAAACUUUCUCGUAGUUCGGAUUGUGGGCUGCAACUCGCCCACAUGAAGUUGGAAUCGCUAGUAAUCGCCAGUCAGCUAUAUGGCGGUGAAUCCGUUCCCGGGCCU
This 838-nucleotide ribosomal RNA is filed under the name uncultured bacterium. RNAcentral describes it as "bacterial SSU rRNA". It matches the Rfam family "Bacterial small subunit ribosomal RNA", at positions 524 to 1381 of the family's 1533-position model. The record is from RNAcentral.